Long non-coding RNA from Saccostrea echinata, 610 nucleotides. RefSeq lists it as uncharacterized. Lineage: Eukaryota; Metazoa; Mollusca; Bivalvia; Ostreida; Ostreidae. The transcript has 3 exons. The record is from RefSeq and is a predicted model, not a curated record.
ACUGAGGAUACAAGAGAGAAGAAACAGGAGCUAAGUCCCAAGGAAAAGAAGAUACCAAGUCACAAAACUCCUCCCUUGAGAAAACACUCUACUACCAACAUUCUUUCAUUGGUAGUAGUAGUAGAUAUUAGCAUUUCAUCCCAUGGAGGAUUGUGUUGAGAUAAUCAAGAAGCAGGCUUCCUGUGUCCAAAUCCUCCUUCUUCAGAAAAACCAAGGGAGAAUGACCAGGAUAUUUCACCCCCUGGAAUAUCUGAAGGGGUUAUGCCCUUUAGUGGUGUGGAGAAAAUGAAGAAAAAAAGUGAACCAAGAACUGAACAAUGCCAUCACAGAGCAAGUCUCAUUGCAGGACAAAAAUUUAAAAAGGAACAUGGGAAAGAAAAAUAUGAGAAUGCUAAGAAGAGCUCAGUGCACGAUACAAGCUAAGCUAAUGUAAAACACACUUAUUGCGAAGUACAAUGAAUGAACAAUUUUGAUUAGGCGUAGUUCAUUAUAUCCAUUAAGUUCACAGCAAUAUUCUAAAAUUUAAGGAAAUGAAAAUCACUAUAACCAUGAAUUCAUUAUAAGCAUCUCUGCUGUAAUACAAAGUCAUCAGAGAUUGGUACACUGUAUU